Molecule: ribosomal RNA, 389 nt
Filed under: uncultured bacterium
Lineage: Bacteria
Description: bacterial SSU rRNA
Rfam family: Bacterial small subunit ribosomal RNA
Source: RNAcentral
AAUGAACGCUGGCGGCGCGCCUAAUACAUGCAAGUCGAGCGAGAAGACGUAGCAAUACGUUUGUAAAGCGGCGAACGGGUGAGGAAUACAUGGGUAACCUACCCUUGAGUGGGGAAUAACUAGCUGAAAGGUUAGCUAAUACCGCGUACGCUUCCUGGACUUCGGUUCAGGGAGGAAAGCGAUGCCGAGGGUAUCGCGCUCUUGGAUGGGCUCAUGUCCUAUCAGCUUGNGGUGAGGUAACGGCUCACCAAGGCUUCGACGGGUAGCUGGUCUGAGAGGACGAUCAGCCACACUGGCACUGCGACACGGGCCAGACUCCUACGGGAGGCAGCAGCAAGGAAUAUUGCGCAAUGGGCGAAAGCCUGACGCAGCGACGCCGCGGUGGGGGA